RNAcentral lists this ribosomal RNA (459 nucleotides) under uncultured bacterium. RNAcentral describes it as "partial 16S ribosomal RNA". It matches the Rfam family "Bacterial small subunit ribosomal RNA", at positions 338 to 794 of the family's 1533-position model. The record is from RNAcentral.
CCUACGGGAGGCAGCAGUGAGGAAUAUUGGUCAAUGGCCGGAAGGCUGAACCAGCCAUGCCGCGUGAAGGUCAGUGCCCUAUGGGCGUUAAACUUCUUUUGUGCGGGAGCAAUAAUGGUCACGUGUGGCCAGACGAGAGUACCGUACGAAUAAGCAUCAGCUAACUCCGUGCCAGCAGCCGCGGUAAUACGGGGGAUGCAAGCGUUAUCCGGAUUUAUUGGGUUUAAAGGGUGCGUAGGCUGUGAGGUAAGUCAGCGGUGAAAUGCCCCCGCUCAACGGGGUGAAGUGCCAUUGAUACUGUCUUGCUGGAAUGCGGAUGGGGUGGGAGGAAUGUGGGGUGUAGCGGUGAAAUGCAUAGAAAUCACAGAGAAACCCGAGUGCGAAGGCAUCUCACGAAUCCGCGAUUGAGGCUGAUGCACGAAAGCGUGGGUAUCAAACAGGAUUAGAUCCCCGGGUAGU